RNAcentral lists this ribosomal RNA (429 nucleotides) under Gemmatimonadota bacterium. Its description in RNAcentral is "Gemmatimonadetes bacterium partial 16S ribosomal RNA". It matches the Rfam family "Bacterial small subunit ribosomal RNA", at positions 355 to 776 of the family's 1533-position model. The record is from RNAcentral. Lineage: Bacteria; Pseudomonadati; Gemmatimonadota.
UAGGGAAUCUUCGGCAAUGGACGAAAGUCUGACCGAGCAACGCCGCGUGAGUGAAGAAGGUUUUCGGAUCGUAAAACUCUGUUGUUAGAGAAGAACAAGGACGUUAGUAACUGAACGUCCCCUGACGGUAUAUAACCAGAAAGCCACGGCUAACUACGUGCCAGCAGCCGCGGUAAUACGUAGGUGGCAAGCGUUGUCCGGAUUUAUUGGGCGUAAAGCGAGCGCAGGCGGUUUCUUAAGUCUGAUGUGAAAGCCCCCGGCUCAACCGGGGAGGGUCAUUGGAAACUGGGAGACUUGAGUGCAGAAGAGGAGAGUGGAAUUCCAUGUGUAGCGGUGAAAUGCGUAGAUAUAUGGAGGAACACCAGUGGCGAAGGCGGCUCUCUGGUCUGUAACUGACGCUGAGGCUCGAAAGCGUGGGGAGCAAACAGG